This 253-nucleotide ribosomal RNA is filed under the name uncultured bacterium. Its description in RNAcentral is "partial 16S ribosomal RNA". It matches the Rfam family "Bacterial small subunit ribosomal RNA", at positions 524 to 776 of the family's 1533-position model. The record is from RNAcentral.
CACGUAGGGGCCAAGCGUUGUCCGGAUUUAUUGGGCGUAAAGAGCGUGUAGGCGGCUUUACAGGUCCGUUGUGAAAACUCGAGGCUCAACCUCGAGACGCCGGUGGAAACCGUAAAGCUAGAGUCCGGAAGAGGAGAGUGGAAUUCCUGGUGUAGCGGUGAAAUGCGCAGAUAUCAGGAGGAACACCCGUGGCGAAAGCGGCUCUCUGGGACGGUACUGACGCUGAGACGCGAAAGCGUGGGGAGCAAACGGU